GGGAAGGUAGCUCAGUGGUAGAGCACAUGCUUAGCAUGCUGUACAAGGUCCUGGGUUCAAUCCCCAGCAACACCA
This 75-nucleotide transfer RNA is filed under the name Marmota marmota marmota (Alpine marmot). It matches the Rfam family "tRNA". Rfam says of the family: Transfer RNA (tRNA) molecules are approximately 80 nucleotides in length. RNAcentral also lists the same sequence under 3 other names. The record is from Rfam by way of RNAcentral. Lineage: Eukaryota; Metazoa; Chordata; Mammalia; Rodentia; Sciuridae.